RNAcentral lists this long non-coding RNA (248 nucleotides) under Ananas comosus (pineapple). RNAcentral's name for it is "long non-coding RNA (ACOM_LNC001493)". The record is from RNAcentral. Lineage: Eukaryota; Viridiplantae; Streptophyta; Magnoliopsida; Poales; Bromeliaceae.
GGAAAGGGCCAACUUUUGUUGACCAUCAAUUUAUUACUAUUUUUUUAGCUACUUGAUUCUGAAAAUCAGACUUGAAAUUUCUUUGGCAUAGGAGAUUGUUAUUUUGGUUUAUCUCAUUAACAGCUGUAAUAGAACUGUUGAAGAUGAUUUUGAACUGUUGAAGAUGAUAUUACUCUAGUUUGUAUAGACAUUUUGGCCUCUAUUUACUCUAGUUUUCCAGAACUGUUGAAGAUGAUAUUAUUGUGGAC